Molecule: long non-coding RNA, 274 nt
Organism: Anopheles arabiensis
Lineage: Eukaryota; Metazoa; Arthropoda; Insecta; Diptera; Culicidae
Exons: 2
Source: RefSeq, a predicted model, not a curated record
ACACGAUGUAGCUAUCGUUUGGGAGCUUUUCAAUCCGUUGGAAAAAUGGAAAUAAAUCAACUUCUUCCAACUUUAGCGGCUGAAGUGGCUACUCUCAUUGUUGUCGGCGGAACUCGGGCCAGGCCACGCGAAGGAAAGGCCUUCAAUGUCCUGAGAUUCAACCGAAAACAAAUUUAUAUAAAGAUGGGUUUCUGCCCGAAAGGAGUUACCAAAAUAAAUUGUACAUUAAACCUUCGGCUAGUGUUCGCGGUUCGUGGGAACCUAUGCUUCGAAA